Molecule: ribosomal RNA, 445 nt
Filed under: uncultured bacterium
Lineage: Bacteria
Description: bacterial SSU rRNA
Rfam family: Bacterial small subunit ribosomal RNA
Source: RNAcentral
GUAAGGAAUAUUGGUCAAUGGACGAAAGUCUGAACCAGCCAUGCCGCGUGGAGGAUGAAGGUCCUCUGGAUUGUAAACUUCUUUUAUAUGGGACGAAAAUGGGGCUUUCUAGCUCAACUGACGGUACCAUAUGAAUAAGCACCGGCUAACUCCGUGCCAGCAGCCGCGGUAAUACGGAGGGUGCAAGCGUUAUCCGGAUUCACUGGGUUUAAAGGGUGCGUAGGUGGAUUUGUAAGUCAGAGGUGAAAUCUCCGGGCUCAACUCGGAAACUGCCUUUGAUACUAUCAAUCUUGAAUAUUGUGGAGGUUAGCGGAAUAUGUCAUGUAGCGGUGAAAUGCUUAGAUAUGACAUAGAACACCAAUUGCGAAGGCAGCUGGCUACACAUAUAUUGACACUGAGGCACGAAAGCGUGGGGAUCAAACAGGAUUAGAUACCCUGGUAGUCC